Molecule: long non-coding RNA, 242 nt
Organism: Oreochromis niloticus (Nile tilapia)
Lineage: Eukaryota; Metazoa; Chordata; Actinopteri; Cichliformes; Cichlidae
Exons: 2
Source: RefSeq, a predicted model, not a curated record
CUCUGGUGUGAGCGUUCUGUGACCGCCCUUGUAUACAAGAUCCAGGACUGAUUCCUGACGCCGUGGGAAGCCAGCACCGAAGUCUGUGCACAGCCCUCUUAGACGAGGCCGAAAGCCCUGGGACGUUUAAAUUCGGGUCCAGGCCGGUGUUUUUAGUCUGGUCCACGGCGGUGGGAUUCAGUCUGGCGAUCCGAAUCACCAGUGAGACGUCUGAGGGUGAGAAACACUAUUUUGGUUAGGAA